This 196-nucleotide ribosomal RNA is filed under the name uncultured bacterium. RNAcentral describes it as "partial 16S ribosomal RNA". It matches the Rfam family "Bacterial small subunit ribosomal RNA", at positions 328 to 538 of the family's 1533-position model. The record is from RNAcentral.
ACGCUCGACACCUACGAGAGGCAGCAGUGGGGAAUAUUGCACAAUGGGGGAAACCCUGAUGCAGCGACGCCGCGUGGAGGAAGAAGGUCUUCGGAUUGUAAACUCCUGUUGUUGGGGAAAAAGAGGAUGGUACCCAACAAGGAAGUGACGGCUAACUACGUGCCAGCACGCCGANAUAUNGNGGCGGNGNGAGAGC